GCCGAAGUGGUGGAAUUGGUAGACACGCUAUCUUGAGGGGGUAGUGGCAACAGCCGUGCCGGUUCAAGUCCGGCCUUCGGCACCA
Molecule: transfer RNA, 85 nt
Filed under: Deltaproteobacteria bacterium
Lineage: Bacteria; Pseudomonadati; Myxococcota; Myxococcia
Description: tRNA-Leu
Rfam family: tRNA
About the family: Transfer RNA (tRNA) molecules are approximately 80 nucleotides in length. Their secondary structure includes four short double-helical elements and three loops (D, anti-codon, and T loops).
Source: RNAcentral